CAGCUAUAUCACAUUGAAACACUAUUUCUCAGCGGAUCACCAAAGUUAAACAACAUUGUGCCUGGUCAGUAACUAGAUGGGUGACGACUUGGGAAUAUCCGGUGCUAUA
Non-coding RNA from Acanthosepion pharaonis, 109 nucleotides. The record is from the annotation of a GenBank genome assembly. NCBI's taxonomy places the organism in Eukaryota, Metazoa, Mollusca, Cephalopoda, Sepiida, Sepiidae.